GUUUGAUCAUGGCUCAGAUUGAACGCUGGCGGCAGGCCUAACACAUGCAAGUCGAACGGUAACAGGAAGAAGCUUGCUUCUUUGCUGACGAGUGGCGGACGGGGGAGUAAUGUCUGGGAAACUGCCUGAUGGAGGGGGAUAACUACUGGAAACGGUAGCUAAUACCGCAUAACGUCGCAAGACCAAAGAGGGGGACCUUCGGGCCUCUUGCCAUCGGAUGUGCCCAGAUGGGAUUAGCUUGUUGGUGGGGUAACGGCUCACCAAGGCGACGAUCCCUAGCUGGUCUGAGAGGAUGACCAGCCACACUGGAACUGAGACACGGUCCAGACUCCUACGGGAGGCAGCAGUGGGGAAUAUUGCACAAUGGGCGCAAGCCUGAUGCAGCCAUGCCGCGUGUAUGAAGAAGGCCUUCGGGUUGUAAAGUACUUUCAGC
RNAcentral lists this ribosomal RNA (433 nucleotides) under Escherichia coli. Its description in RNAcentral is "bacterial SSU rRNA". It matches the Rfam family "Bacterial small subunit ribosomal RNA", at positions 11 to 440 of the family's 1533-position model. The record is from RNAcentral. Lineage: Bacteria; Pseudomonadati; Pseudomonadota; Gammaproteobacteria; Enterobacterales; Enterobacteriaceae.